RNAcentral lists this non-coding RNA (25 nucleotides) under Mus musculus (house mouse). Lineage: Eukaryota; Metazoa; Chordata; Mammalia; Rodentia; Muridae. The record is from RNAcentral.
UCCUCUUCAGUUGAUUUUGGAUUGU